UACGAAGGGGGCUAGCGUUGCUCGGAAUUACUGGGCGUAAAGGGCGCGUAGGCGGAUGUUUAAGUCGGGGGUGAAAGCCCGGGGCUCAACCUCGGAAUUGCCUUCGAUACUGGACAUCUUGAGUACGGGAGAGGUGAGUGGAACUCCGAGUGUAGAGGUGAAAUUCGUAGAUAUUCGGAAGAACUCCAGUGGCGAAGGCGACUCACUGGCCCGUUACUGACGCUGAGGCGCGAAAGCGUGGGGAGCAAACAGG
This 253-nucleotide ribosomal RNA is filed under the name uncultured bacterium. Its description in RNAcentral is "partial 16S ribosomal RNA". It matches the Rfam family "Bacterial small subunit ribosomal RNA", at positions 524 to 776 of the family's 1533-position model. The record is from RNAcentral.